UAGGGAAUCUUCGGCAAUGGGGGCAACCCUGACCGAGCAACGCCGCGUGAGUGAAGAAGGUUUUCGGAUCGUAAAGCUCUGUUGUAAGAGAAGAACGUGUGUGAGAGUGGAAAGUUCACACAGUGACAGUAACUUACCAGAAAGGGACGGCUAACUACGUGCCAG
RNAcentral lists this ribosomal RNA (165 nucleotides) under uncultured bacterium. Its description in RNAcentral is "partial 16S rRNA". It matches the Rfam family "Bacterial small subunit ribosomal RNA", at positions 355 to 511 of the family's 1533-position model. The record is from RNAcentral.